GACGAACGCUGGCGGCGUGCUUAACACAUGCAAGUCGAGCGAGACCCCUUCUUCGGGAGGGUGUUCUAGCGGCGAACGGGUGAGUAACACGUGGGCAACCUGCCCUCAGCUCUGGGAUAACUCCAAGAAAUUGGGGCUAAUACCGGAUAUGACCGCUGACCGCAUGGUCUGGUGGUGGAAAGAUUUAUCGGCUGGGGGAUGGGCCCGCGGCCUAUCAGCUUGUUGGUGGGGGUAGUGGCCACCAAGGCGACGACGGGUAGCCGGCCUGAGAGGGUGACCGGCCACACUGGGACUGAGACACGGCCCAGACUCCUACGGGAGGCGA
Molecule: ribosomal RNA, 325 nt
Filed under: uncultured bacterium
Lineage: Bacteria
Description: bacterial SSU rRNA
Rfam family: Bacterial small subunit ribosomal RNA
Source: RNAcentral